Molecule: long non-coding RNA, 737 nt
Filed under: Mus pahari (shrew mouse)
Lineage: Eukaryota; Metazoa; Chordata; Mammalia; Rodentia; Muridae
Description: lncRNA (MGP_PahariEiJ_G0004499.1)
Source: RNAcentral
CUCUUCUGAGAUGUCCCCGGAGCCUUAGGGCAUUAACCACUGGGGCUGGGUACCCCACAGGGUGAAAAAUAAAAGGAAGAAACAAUCCUGGAAGAAGACAAUCUGCGCUCCGUAUCUCACUCCUGUAAUGAAAUAGGAGGCGGAGACAGAAGAAUCAGGCCAGCUGGCCAGGACUCCAGGGGUCAGCAGCAGGAAACAAGAGCACUUUCCUUAAAGCAAGAAAACAAAAAAACAAAAAAAAACAAAAAAAACGUGGAUAACAGCCCAAGAUGGUAUUUUGAAGUAAGUAGACACCUGGAGAACACAGUCCUCCUGCUACCGGGACGAUGGAUAGACAUCUUCAAUCAAGACAUCCUAAGGACUCCUACGAGUUUAGAUGAAGGAGACUCUCCGGUUGUGUUUGUUUGGAAGGCGACCUCGGUAAGCCUGGAGCUAGAUGUCAACUGACGAGACGCUUCUGAGAGGGACUCAAAACUGCCGACCUUGGGAAUUUGCUCUAGAGGAGAGAAAUUCUUGGCCACUGAGAGAAUGCUGAGAAGACAGGGGAGUGAAAAGAACGUGUCAACAGAGUGAGCCAAGCCCAGGGGACAUGACAGAGUGCCACAAGAAACCAUUGCUCGGUAAAGGACACCUCAGAUGAGAGUGUACAAAAUAUGAUCAUCCCUCAUCACCAGGGGCAGCCCUAGGACCCUUGCCCAGGGUACCACAAUCUUAGGGUGCUCAAGUCCCUUCUAUAA